This 465-nucleotide ribosomal RNA is filed under the name Vreelandella stevensii. RNAcentral describes it as "partial 16S ribosomal RNA". It matches the Rfam family "Bacterial small subunit ribosomal RNA", at positions 338 to 795 of the family's 1533-position model. The record is from RNAcentral. Lineage: Bacteria; Pseudomonadati; Pseudomonadota; Gammaproteobacteria; Oceanospirillales; Halomonadaceae.
CCUACGGGCGGCAGCAGUGGGGAAUAUUGGACAAUGGGGGCAACCCUGAUCCAGCCAUGCCGCGUGUGUGAAGAAGGCCCUCGGGUUGUAAAGCACUUUCAGUGAGGAAGAACGCCUGGUGGUUAAUACCCAUCAGGAAAGACAUCACUCACAGAAGAAGCACCGGCUAACUCCGUGCCAGCAGCCGCGGUAAUACGGAGGGUGCGAGCGUUAAUCGGAAUUACUGGGCGUAAAGCGCGCGUAGGUGGCUUGAUAAGCCGGUUGUGAAAGCCCCGGGCUCAACCUGGAAACGGCAUCCGGAACUGUCAAGCUAGAGUGCAGGAGAGGAAGGUAGAAUUCCCGGUGUAGCGGUGAAAUGCGUAGAGAUCGGGAGGAAUACCAGUGGCGAAGGCGGCCUUCUGGACUGACACUGACACUGAGGUGCGAAAGCGUGGGUAGCAAACAGGAUUAGAUACCCCAGUAGUC